GCUAAAGUGCGUCUCUUGUAUUCAGGCAAUAUCCACUACUUUUUUUCUUAAGUCUCUGAGUAAGAGGCUACGUUUAUGUGGGGUAUUAAGCCCCUUAACAUUAAGGGUCGUGACUUUCAUAGUGUAUUAUACGUCGAAUCUGGGUUGAUCCUAUUGGUCAUCCCUGGGAAGCUGGUAGAGAGUGUAUGGUCAGAUCUGUAAUGACUGUUAUAGUAGUUGGCAUAGUUGGGGAGAGUAGCCAUCUCAGUAGCCAUUGAUGCAAGAUGCAGAGGGGGUGGAGGUAACUUGGGAAAGUGAAAACAAAACAGAAAUAAUGAACAAAAUAGCGCUCAGAAGGUCUGAGCCAUGGUGUGUCAUGGCAUGGCCAGGAGGGGUAGCCUUGAGCGGCUCCACGUCUGGGAGUCACUCAGAUGGUAGUACUCAAAAUAAGCUAUUUGCUAGCUAAGAG
Non-coding RNA from Pelobates cultripes (western spadefoot toad), 448 nucleotides. Lineage: Eukaryota; Metazoa; Chordata; Amphibia; Anura; Pelobatidae. The record is from the annotation of a GenBank genome assembly.